CGGCAUCAAAUAGAGUCGACUAUGGUCAGAUUGAACGCUGGCGGGAUGCUUACAUGCAAGUCGAACGGCAGCACGGACUUCGGUCUGGUGGCGAGUGGCGAACGGGUGAGCAAUGUAUCGGAACGUGCCUAGCAGCGGGAUAACUACGCGAAAAGCGUAGCUAAUACCGCAUACGUCUUCGGGGAAAGCGGGGACCUUCGGGCCUCGCACUAUUAGAGCGGCUGAUAUCGGAUUAGCCAGCUGGUGGGUAACGGCUCACCAAGGUGACGAUCCGUAGCUGGUUUGAUAGGACGACCAGCCACACUGACCGGAGACACGGCCCAGACUCCUACGGGAGGCAGUGGGAAUUUUGACAAUGGGAAAACUCCUGAUCCAGCCAUCCCCGCGUGCGAUGAAGGCCUUUCGGGUUGUAAGCACUUGUGGUGAAGAAAACAAGGCGGUACGGCACAUCACCUCCUGUGCAACUGACGGUACCUGUAGAAUAAGCACUGGCUAUCUGAUGCGCCAGCAGCCGCGGUAAUACGUAGGGUGAAGCUGUGUUAAUCGGAAUUACUGGCGCAAAAGCGCAGAAGUGGUCUUCGGAAAGAAAGAUGUGAACCUAGAGCUUAACUGGGAACUGGUACUUUAACUACCGAGCUAGAGGGUGUCAGAGUGGAGGUGAAUUCUGCGUGUAGCAGUGAAAUGCGUAGAUAUGUGGAGGAACACCGAUGGCGAAGGCAGCCUCCUGGGAUAACACUGACGCUCAUGCACGAAAGCGUGGGGAUAAACAGGAUUAGAUACCCUGGUGGUGUCCACGCCCUAAACGAUGUCAACGGUUGUUGGGGCCUCGGGCCUGUAGGCGCAGCUAACGCGGUGAAGUUGACCGCCCGGGGAGUACGGUCGCAAGACUAAAACCCAGCGAAAUCGAUUUGGGACCGCACAAGCGGUGGAUGAUGUGUGGAUUAAUUGACAACGCGAAAACCUUACCUACCUUGACAUGUCUGCUGGAAUCCCGAAGAGAUUGGGAGUGCUCGCAAGAGAACCGAACACAGGUGCUGGCCGGCUGUCGUCAGCCUGUGUCGUGAGAUGUUGUUAAGUCCUGCAACGAGCGCAACCCUUGUCAGCUAGUUGCUACGAGCGCACUUAAUGACUGCCGGUGACAAACUGGAGGAAGGUGGGAUGAUGCCAAGUCCUCGCGCCCUUUAUGUGGGUAGGGCUUCACACGUCAUACAAUGGUCGGGACAGAGGGUCGCCAACCCGCGAGGGGAGCGCCAAUCCCAGAAACCGAUCGUAAGUCCGGGAUCGCAGCCCGGUAACUCGACUGCGUGAAGUUUUCCUGAAUCGCUAGUAAUCGCGGAUCAGCAUGUCGCGGUGAAUACGUUCCGGUCUUGUACACACUGCCCGUCACACCAUGGGAGUGGGUUUACCAGAAGUAGUUAGCCUAACCAAGAGGGCGAUUACCACGGGUAGGAUUCAUGACUGGGGUGAAGUCGUAACAAGGUAG
RNAcentral lists this ribosomal RNA (1483 nucleotides) under uncultured Bordetella sp. Its description in RNAcentral is "partial 16S-23S ribosomal RNA intergenic spacer". It matches the Rfam family "Bacterial small subunit ribosomal RNA". The record is from RNAcentral. Lineage: Bacteria; Pseudomonadati; Pseudomonadota; Betaproteobacteria; Burkholderiales; Alcaligenaceae.